CCUACGGGUGGCAGCAGUGGGGAAUAUUGGACAAUGGGGGCAACCCUGAUCCAGCCAUGCCGCGUGUGUGAAGAAGGCCCUCGGGUUGUAAAGCACUUUCAGUGAGGAAGAACGCCUGGUGGUUAAUACCCAUCAGGAAAGACAUCACUCACAGAAGAAGCACCGGCUAACUCCGUGCCAGCAGCCGCGGUAAUACGGAGGGUGCGAGCGUUAAUCGGAAUUACUGGGCGGAAAGCGCGCGUAGGUGGCUUGAUAAGCCGGUUGUGAAAGCCCCGGGCUCAACCUGGGAACGGCAUCCGGAACUGUCAAGCUAGAGUGCAGGAGAGGAAGGUAGAAUUCCCGGUGUAGCGGUGAAAUGCGUAGAGAUCGGGAGGAAUACCAGUGGCGAAGGCGGCCUUCUGGACUGACACUGACACUGAGGUGCGAAAGCGUGGGUAGCAAACAGGAUUAGAUACCCUGGUAGUC
RNAcentral lists this ribosomal RNA (465 nucleotides) under Vreelandella stevensii. RNAcentral describes it as "partial 16S ribosomal RNA". It matches the Rfam family "Bacterial small subunit ribosomal RNA", at positions 338 to 795 of the family's 1533-position model. Lineage: Bacteria; Pseudomonadati; Pseudomonadota; Gammaproteobacteria; Oceanospirillales; Halomonadaceae. The record is from RNAcentral.